This 64-nucleotide ribosomal RNA is filed under the name uncultured bacterium. RNAcentral's name for it is "partial 16S ribosomal RNA". The record is from RNAcentral.
CAGCUAACGGCCUAAACCGGCGAAGGGGGGCGGUUCGGCCACGGUGGCGUUCGUGACUGGGGUG